RNAcentral lists this long non-coding RNA (713 nucleotides) under Trifolium pratense (red clover). RNAcentral describes it as "long non-coding RNA (TPRA_LNC009021)". Lineage: Eukaryota; Viridiplantae; Streptophyta; Magnoliopsida; Fabales; Fabaceae. The record is from RNAcentral.
UAUAUAGCCUCUGAGGUGGGAAAAGCUAAAUUCCCAACUCCUUAUGAAAUCUCAAAUGUGUAUUUUGUAACGACCCAAAUUUAUUAUUCACUAUUUAAGUGUUUAAUUAUUUGGUGAUGUGGUUUUUAAGUAAGAUAGUAACUUUAAGUUAUUUAUCGAAAGUUUUAGUUAACGCGCGAGUUAGUGAGAGUUAACGUGAGUUGGGCCAAGCUAUUGGGCUUGAGGCCCAUUGGGCCUUGUGAGCUAGAGGGGGGCGCUAUUUAGCCCUUGUAGUGAGAGAAGAGUUCAUUUUUCUUGUUCUUGGGAGAAGUAGAGAGAAGGGAGAGCAAGAAGAGAGCUAGAGCAAGAGCUUGGAGGAGGGAUUCGAGGAGCAAUCUUCGUGAGUUCGUCGAUCCAAGGUAAGAGAGUAGAUUUCAUAAUCGUGGGUGACCCGAGGAAGGGGGGAAUGUCAAUUUCUCCUCACCCGAACUUCCUCCACCCCAUUUUUGUUUUAGUUUGGAAUGGAUUUUCUUGAUGGAAAUCGUUUCUAAGGUUCUUAAUAUGUUUAACAUGCUUUUAACAUGGUUAAUGAACGAAAAUAAUGGUUAAAAACGAGUUUAUGAAAGAUUAAACUCAAGAACUUUGUGUUCUUGAGAGUUUUGAUGAAAAAGUGUUCAAUCUUUACUUUUUCGAUGUUUAUGAUGUAGAUCUGAGAAAUGGACUAUCCUUUUGUG